CAAUUUAGUUCUAUUAUUUCUAGUGUUUCCCAUGAGUAAGUAAACAACUGCCGCUGGUUCGUUACUUCUGAAUGGCGAAACGUCAUCCCUUUUGUGGUUAUUGUCAUCACAUAUUCAACUAUUUGUAUCGACACAAACGCAAGGAGAAUAUUGCAAACCGCAUUAUCGCUAUACCUACAAAAGUUAAGGUAUAUCCUGAAGAUGCGCCUUCAUCCGUCUUUCCCUUUUUUUCGCCGUAGCGCUUCCAGCAGAUUGGGCUGUGCGGACUACAAGGUGAAUUUUCAUCACGAAACAUUUUCUUGUUAUACUUGCAGAUGUUCACUUGAUAUUCCGGCGACGCUGUUAUAGCCAUCCAUCUCCAACCGAGACUUGAUGCACAGAUUCGGUGCGCUCCCUCACGAAAAUGACUUUCUGUUUUGAUGCACUGACUGCAAUAUGUUUGUGUUAUUAUGUAUAUAGUGGUUUUCUGUGGGUUAUGGCAAAUGUAUGGGCAUAUCAUAUAAA
Long non-coding RNA from Daphnia pulex (common water flea), 504 nucleotides. RefSeq lists it as uncharacterized. The record is from RefSeq and is a predicted model, not a curated record. NCBI's taxonomy places the organism in Eukaryota, Metazoa, Arthropoda, Branchiopoda, Diplostraca, Daphniidae. The transcript has 2 exons.